RNAcentral lists this ribosomal RNA (373 nucleotides) under uncultured organism. Its description in RNAcentral is "partial 16S ribosomal RNA". It matches the Rfam family "Bacterial small subunit ribosomal RNA", at positions 527 to 896 of the family's 1533-position model. The record is from RNAcentral.
GUAGGUGGCAAGCGUUGUCCGGAAUUAUUGGGCGUAAAGCACGCGCAGGCGGUUCUUUAAGUCUGAUGUGAAAGCCCACGGCUCAACCGUGGAGGGUCAUUGGAAACUGGAGAACUUGAGUACAGAAGAGGAAAGCGGAAUUCCACGUGUAGCGGUGAAAUGCGUAGAGAUGUGGAGGAACACCAGUGGCGAAGGCGGCUUUCUGGUCUGUAACUGACGCUGAGGCGCGAAAGCGUGGGGGGAGCAAACAGGAUUAGAUACCCUGGUAGUCCACGCCGUAAACGAUGAGUGCUAAGUGUUAGGGGGUUUUCCGCCCCUUAGUGCUGCAGCUAACGCAUUAAGCACUCCGCCUGGGAGUACGGCCGCAAGGCUG